GGUUCUAUGGUGUAGUGGUUAGCACUCUGGACUUUGAAUCCAGACACAGGUUCGACUCAGUAGGACCU
Molecule: non-coding RNA, 68 nt
Organism: Datura stramonium (jimsonweed)
Lineage: Eukaryota; Viridiplantae; Streptophyta; Magnoliopsida; Solanales; Solanaceae
Source: the annotation of a GenBank genome assembly